AGAGUUUGAUCCUGGUUCAGAACAAACGCUGGCGGCGUGCCCUAACACAUGCAGUCGUACGAGAAGUCCGCUUCGGUGGAUGAGUAAAGUGGCGCACGGGUGAGUAACGCGUGGAUAAUCUACCCUUUAGUCUGGAAUAACUUAUCGAAAGGUGAACUAAUACCGGAUAAUAUCCCGAUUUCUUCGGCGAUCGGGAUCAAAGAAGGCCUCUGCUUGCAAGCUUUCACUGAAGGAUGAGUCCGCGUACCAUUAGCUAGUUGGCAGGGUAAUGGCCUACCAAGGUUAUGAUGGUUAGCUGGUCUGAGAGGAUGAUCAGCCACACUGGAACUGAAACACGGUCCAGACUCCUACGGGAGGCAGCAGUGAGGAAUAUUGCGCAAUGGGGGCAACCCUGACGCAGCAACGCCGCGUGAGUGAGGAAGGUUUUCGGAUUGUAAAGCUCUGUCGAGCGGAAAGAAGUGCAUGGUGGUUAAUAUCCAUCAUGCUUGACGGUACCGCUAAAGGAAGCACCGGCUAACUCCGUGCCAGCAGCCGCGGUAAUAC
Molecule: ribosomal RNA, 543 nt
Filed under: uncultured Smithella sp.
Lineage: Bacteria; Pseudomonadati; Thermodesulfobacteriota; Syntrophia; Syntrophales; Smithellaceae
Description: bacterial SSU rRNA
Rfam family: Bacterial small subunit ribosomal RNA
Source: RNAcentral